Long non-coding RNA from Microcebus murinus (gray mouse lemur), 1097 nucleotides. RefSeq lists it as uncharacterized. The record is from RefSeq and is a predicted model, not a curated record. Lineage: Eukaryota; Metazoa; Chordata; Mammalia; Primates; Cheirogaleidae.
UACUAUUCCUCUAAUCGUGCCUUCUCUGCCCAUAUAUGAAUCCCUAGCCUGCUCCACCCAGCUACAUAGCAGAGAAUGAGGUGAAUAUAUACAGGCAUACCUCAGAGAUAUUGCAGGUUCAGUUCCAGACCACUGCAGCAAAGUCUGACCCCACCACAUGUCUACCAGUCUCUCAGAUGGCGGAGUGACCAGCAUGCUUUGGAAAGUGGAAAACCCAUACAUCUCACUUAAAUGGGACAAGGGUGCCCAAAUAUACACACAAACUUAACACUAUCGUGGAGAGGAGGGAAGGUUAGAAGGGGAAGAAAGACAAAACUCCUCUAUUACAGAGGGCACAAAAAAUUGCAAUUCUUCGCUGAGUAAUUUGUGAUUUAAACAGACAAGGUCAUAUAUGACAUCUAUUUAAAUUGAAUAGCUUUUUCACUUUCAGUCUUCCACUUGUUCAAGCUUUCCUCUUUUAUUUAUGUGGUAAGUGAGGGAAAUUUAAGUGGCAUUUAUUUUUAAAUAACUUAAGAACAAACCAAUCCUCCAAUAUCCAGAUGGGUAUGAAACUGAGCUACAGCUUACAGGGUAGUUGGUGGGGUAGGAGUAGAAAAAAAAGAAGACAAGUUUCAUGAGUCCUAUUACUACUAACAACAAAAACAAAGGAAUAAGAAAGCACCCGAAAACAUGAAGUUAAAAGGCAGCAUAAGAGUCAGAGAAAGCAAUGAGGAUCUUCUAGAUACUACACUGGGAGGCGCUGUCCAGUUCUGACAGAGGUGCCCUUUAACCUCAAAAACCUCCUAAGAGUCACUUUACCUCACUGCCAGUGAGAAACUGGAGCAACAUGAACUUGCACGAGCCAAAAGAGAGCACAUAUCUCCAAGAUUGAAUUCAGCUUCUGGAAGGCCCUGGAGUGUGCGCCCUUACAUGGGCAUAUUUGGCCCUCACAUAUCUCCAAAACAGAUCCCUACAGAUUCUGAAGUGGAUGCCCUGGAAAAAUUCAUAUUCAAUGUCUGAAAAAGAGUAAGCUGGAAAACACACAUAAGCUGACGUCCUUCAGCAAAUAACACGCACAUGUUCUUGAACCCUCAGAGCUAUACAGCUCCACUCAGGGA